This 484-nucleotide ribosomal RNA is filed under the name uncultured bacterium. Its description in RNAcentral is "partial 16S ribosomal RNA". It matches the Rfam family "Bacterial small subunit ribosomal RNA", at positions 28 to 507 of the family's 1533-position model. The record is from RNAcentral.
GUUGAACGCUGGCGGCAGGCCUAACACAUGCAAGUCGAACGGAUGAACCCAGCUUGCUUCUGGAUUCAGCGGGGGACGGGGGUGUAAUGCCUAGGAAUCUCCUGGGCUGGGGUGGAGAACGUCCUGAAGCGAGCGCUAAUACCGCAUACGUCCUGAGGGAGAAAGAGGGGGGGGUUCGGAACGCACGCUCGCAGAUGAGUCUAGGCGGGAGUAGCUAGUUGGUGGGGUAAAGGGCUACCAAGCCGACGAUUCGUAACUGGUCGGUGAGGAUGAUCAGUCACCUGGGAACUGAGCCACGGACCAUAGUCCUACGGGACGCAGCAGUGGGGAAUAUGGGACAGUGGGCGAAAGCCUGAUCCAACCAUGGCGAGCGUGAUAAGAAGGUCUUCGGAUUGUAAAGCAGGUUAAGUGGGGAUGAACGGCAGUAGGCUAAUACCUAGCUGUUUUGACGUUAAUAACAGAAUAAGCACCGGCUAACUUCGUG